Molecule: long non-coding RNA, 370 nt
Filed under: Chlamydomonas reinhardtii
Lineage: Eukaryota; Viridiplantae; Chlorophyta; Chlorophyceae; Chlamydomonadales; Chlamydomonadaceae
Description: long non-coding RNA (CREI_LNC001461)
Source: RNAcentral
UGCAUCAUCAGCGCAGGGAACGGGUCCCACCCCACCAUUACUGGAGCUCUGCGAGGAAAGCCAACUAACCACACCAUCGCGCAGACACUACUGGCAAGCAGCCGCACUGUCAGCCAGCACAGCGAUCACGUCGCGACAAAUGGCCCACUCGCCCUGGCCACCAAGUCUGCAAUGAACAAGAGCCUGGAGGAAAAGAUGAAAGAAUGUGACGAGAACGGAAUCAUGGCCGAGGUUACCUCCGUCAGCGGCUCAAACAAGUACAAAGAAAACAUUACCACCGGCGCAGGUGACAACAUGUACACCAACACCGUUCUCAUGGAGUGCUCACGCCAGGCAGGAGCUCACCUGGCAUUGUGCAGCGACAAGUGGA